RNAcentral lists this ribosomal RNA (508 nucleotides) under uncultured bacterium. Its description in RNAcentral is "partial 16S ribosomal RNA". It matches the Rfam family "Bacterial small subunit ribosomal RNA", at positions 899 to 1397 of the family's 1533-position model. The record is from RNAcentral.
ACUCAAAUGAAUAGACGGGGGCCCGCACAAGCGGUGGAGCAUGUGGUUUAAUUCGACGCAACGCGAAGAACCUUACCUGGGCUCGAACGGCUUUGGCAACCUCGUGGAAACAUGGGGCCUCCCGCAAGGGACCGGAGUCGAGGUGCUGCAUGGCUGUCGUCAGCUCGUGUCGUGAGAUGUUGGGUUAAGUCCCGCAACGAGCGCAACCCUUGUCCUGUUUUGGCAUGUGGAUCGAAAGGUCCGCGCAACUAUCAGGAGACCGCCAGCGAUAAGUUGGAGGAAGGUGGGGACGACGUCAAGUCAUCAUGGCCUUUAUGUCCAGGGCCACACACGUGCUACAAUGGGCGGUACAAAGCGCAGCGAACCCGCGAGGGGAAGCUAAUCGCAAAAAACCGUCCUCAGUUCGGAUCGCAGGCUGCAACUCGCCUGCGUGAAGCUGGAAUCGCUAGUAAUGGCAUAUCAGAACGAUGCCGUGAAUACGUUCCCGGGCCUUGUACACACCGCCCGU